This is a non-coding RNA of Pelobates cultripes (western spadefoot toad), 260 nucleotides long. The record is from the annotation of a GenBank genome assembly. NCBI's taxonomy places the organism in Eukaryota, Metazoa, Chordata, Amphibia, Anura, Pelobatidae.
AUGGUGGUGGGGGCAUCAUGGUUUGGGGCUGCUUUGCUGCGUCAGGGCCUGGACAGAUUGCUAUCAUCGAAGGAAAAAUUAAUUCCCAAGUUUAUCAAGACAUUUUGCAGAACUUAAGGCCAUCCGUCUACCAGCUGAAGCUCAACAGAAGAUGGGUGUUGCAACAGGACAAUGACCCAAAGCAUAGAAGUAAAUCAACAACAGAAUGGCUUCAACAGAAGAAAAUACGCCUUCUGAAGUGGCCCAGUCAGAGUCCUCAC